Molecule: ribosomal RNA, 198 nt
Filed under: uncultured bacterium
Lineage: Bacteria
Description: partial 16S ribosomal RNA
Rfam family: Bacterial small subunit ribosomal RNA
Source: RNAcentral
ACGCUCGACACCUACGGGAGGCAGCAGUGGGGAAUAUUGCACAAUGGGGGAAACCCUGAUGCAGCGACGCCGCGUGAAGGAAGAAGUAUCUCGGUAUGUAAACUUCUAUCAGCAGGGAAGAAAGUGACGGUACCUGACUAAGAAGCCCCGGCUAACUACGUGCCAGAAGCCGCGGUAAUCUGAGCGGGCUGGCAAGGC